AUGUAGCCAAGAGGAUCAAGGCAGUGGAUUUGA
This 33-nucleotide transfer RNA is filed under the name Inga capitata. RNAcentral describes it as "partial tRNA-His". The record is from RNAcentral. Lineage: Eukaryota; Viridiplantae; Streptophyta; Magnoliopsida; Fabales; Fabaceae.